Molecule: non-coding RNA, 802 nt
Filed under: Mileewa ponta
Lineage: Eukaryota; Metazoa; Arthropoda; Insecta; Hemiptera; Cicadellidae
Source: RNAcentral
CAGAUUAAAUUAUUAAUAUUGUAUAUUAAUUAAUUUACCAUUUUUUUUUUUUUUUUUUUUUGGAGUUUGAUUCUUGCUUAUUUGUUAAUUUAUUAAAUGUUUUUAUAUGUAAUUUUUUAUUAAUUUAUAAAUAAGCAGUAUUUAGUAUUAUUUAAAAUUUUUGUUUUUGAAAUAGUGAUUUAAUUAAAAUAGAUUAAUAUUGUGCCAGCAUUCGCGGUUAAACAAUAUAUUUAAUUUAAUAAUUUUGGUUUUGUAGUUUUAAUUUUAAAAAGAAUAAAAAUUUAUUUUAUUUAGGUGGAAUUUAUAUUAAAAUAAAUCUUCUUAAAUUUAAUUUACGAAAUCUUUUUUUUARACUAGGAUUAGAUACCCUAUUAUUAAAGUUUUAAAUUUAUUCCUGAAUAUUAAUAGUUAUGUUCUAUAAAACUCAAAGAAUUUGGCGGUGAUUUAUUUCUUUUUAGAGGAACCUGUGUUAUAAUUGAUAAACCACGAUAAAUUAAACCUUUAUUAAGUUUGUAUACCUCUAUAUGAAUGAAUAUUUUGUUAGAAUUAUUUUCUUUUUCUUUAAAAGAAGAAUUUUAGGUCAAGGUGCAGUUUUAUAAAGGUAAAUAUGGGUUACAUUAUUAGAUUUUAAAUUUGGAUUUAAGAAAAAAUAUUUUUAAUAAAAAAGGAUUUAAUAGUAAUUUUAAUUAAUUAAUUAUUUUGAAUAGAGUUCUAAAUUGUGUACAUAUCGCCCGUCACUCCUAAUUUGUGUUGGGAUAAGUCGUAACAUAGUAGUUGUACCGGAAGGUGUAGCUAGAAUGAA